CCUACGGGAGGCUGCAGUGGGGAAUAUUGGACAAUGGGGGCAACCCUGAUCCAGCCAUGCCGCGUGUGUGAAGAAGGCCCUCGGGUUGUAAAGCACUUUCAGUGAGGAAGAACGCCUGGUGGUUAAUACCCAUCAGGAAAGACAUCACUCACAGAAGAAGCACCGGCUAACUCCGUGCCAGCAGCCGCGGUAAUACGGAGGGUGCGAGCGUUAAUCGGAAUUACUGGGCGUAAAGCGCGCGUAGGUGGCUUGAUAAGCCGGUUGUGAAAGCCCCGGGCUCAACCUGGGAACGGCAUCCGGAACUGUCAAGCUAGAGUGCAGGAGAGGAAGGUGGAAUUCCCGGUGUAGCGGUGAAAUGCGUAGAGAUCGGGAGGAAUACCAGUGGCGAAGGCGGCCUUCUGGACUGACACUGACACUGAGGUGCGAAAGCGUGGGUAGCAAACAGGAUUAGAUACCCUAGUAGUC
RNAcentral lists this ribosomal RNA (465 nucleotides) under Vreelandella stevensii. Its description in RNAcentral is "partial 16S ribosomal RNA". It matches the Rfam family "Bacterial small subunit ribosomal RNA", at positions 338 to 795 of the family's 1533-position model. Lineage: Bacteria; Pseudomonadati; Pseudomonadota; Gammaproteobacteria; Oceanospirillales; Halomonadaceae. The record is from RNAcentral.